This 67-nucleotide transfer RNA is filed under the name Marmota monax (woodchuck). RNAcentral's name for it is "tRNA.Thr". The record is from RNAcentral. Lineage: Eukaryota; Metazoa; Chordata; Mammalia; Rodentia; Sciuridae.
GGAUUGUGGCUCAGCGGUAGAGCGCUCGCCUAGUGUGUGCGGGACCCAGGUUCGAUUCUCAGCACCA